GAUGAACGCUGGCGGCGUGCCUAAUACAUGCAAGUCGAGCGGCAGCACGGUCUUCGGACUGGUGGCGAGCGGCGGACGGCUGAGUAACGCGUAGGAAUAUACCCCAAAGUGAGGGAUAACUGCCCGAAAGGGUGGCUAAUACCGCAUGUGGUCUUCGGACUAAAGCCUUCGGGCGCUUUGGGAAUAGCCUGCGUAAGAUUAGCUAGUUGGUGAGGUAAUGGCUCACUAAGGCGACGAUCUUUAGCUGGUCUGAGAGGAUGACCAGCCAGACUGGAACUGAGACACGGUCCAGACUCCUACGGGAGGCAUCAGUAGGGAAUUUUCCACAAUGGGCGAAAGCCUGAUGGAGCAACGCCGCGUGCAGGAUGAAGGCCCUCGGGUCGUAAACUGCUUUAUGUGCGAAGAAUAUGACGGUAACACAUGAAUAAGGGUCGGCUAACUACGUGCCAGCAGCCGCGGUAACU
This 464-nucleotide ribosomal RNA is filed under the name uncultured bacterium. RNAcentral describes it as "bacterial SSU rRNA". It matches the Rfam family "Bacterial small subunit ribosomal RNA", at positions 28 to 525 of the family's 1533-position model. The record is from RNAcentral.